RNAcentral lists this ribosomal RNA (394 nucleotides) under uncultured bacterium. RNAcentral describes it as "partial 16S ribosomal RNA". It matches the Rfam family "Bacterial small subunit ribosomal RNA", at positions 523 to 918 of the family's 1533-position model. The record is from RNAcentral.
AUACGUAGGGAGCGAGCGUUGUCCGGAAUUACUGGGCGUAAAGGGCGCGUAGGCGGCGCUUCAAGUCGUCUGUCACAUGGGAGGGCUUAACCCUUUUUCGCAGCCGAAACUGUCGAGCUUGAGAAGCAGAGCGGCAAACAGAAUUCCUGGUGUAGCGGUGAAAUGCGUAGAUAUCAGGAAGAAUACCAGUGGCGAAGGCGGUUUGCUGGCUGCAUACUGACGCUGAAGCGCGAAAGCCAGGGGAGCGAACGGGAUUAGAUACCCCGGUAGUCCUGGCAGUAAACGAUGUAUGCUGGGUGUGAGACUAGCGAUAGUUUCGUGCCGAAGUUAACGCGAUAAGCAUACCGCCUGGGGAGUACGGUCGCAAGAUUGAAACUUAAAGGAAUUGACGGGG